Molecule: ribosomal RNA, 254 nt
Filed under: uncultured Acinetobacter sp.
Lineage: Bacteria; Pseudomonadati; Pseudomonadota; Gammaproteobacteria; Moraxellales; Moraxellaceae
Description: partial 16S ribosomal RNA
Rfam family: Bacterial small subunit ribosomal RNA
Source: RNAcentral
UACAGAGGGGUGCGAGCGUUAAUCGGAUUUACUGGGCGUAAAGCGUGCGUAGGUGGUCUUUUAAGUCGGAUGUGAAAUCCCUGAGCUUAACUUAGGAAUUGCAUUCGAUACUGGGAGACUAGAGUAUGGGAGAGGAUGGUAGAAUUCCAGGUGUAGCGGUGAAAUGCGUAGAGAUCUGGAGGAAUACCGAUGGCGAAGGCAGCCAUCUGGCCUAAUACUGACACUGAGGUACGAAAGCAUGGGGAGCAAACAGG